RNAcentral lists this ribosomal RNA (855 nucleotides) under uncultured bacterium. RNAcentral's name for it is "bacterial SSU rRNA". It matches the Rfam family "Bacterial small subunit ribosomal RNA", at positions 1 to 856 of the family's 1533-position model. The record is from RNAcentral.
UUAGAGUUUGAUCAUGGCUCAGAUUGAACGCUGGCGGCAUGCUUUAUAUAUGCAAGUCGAGCGGCAGCGCGGGGCAACCUGGCGGCGAGCGGCGAACGGGUGAGUAAUGCAUCGGAACGUGUCCCGGAGUGGGGGAUAACGCCGCGAAAGCGGCGCUAAUACCGCAUAUGCUCUGAGGGGGAAAGUGGGGGACCUGCAAGGGCCUCAUGCUCUGGGAGCGGCCGAUGUCCGAUUAGCUUGUUGGUGAGGUAAUGGCUUACCAAGGCGACGAUCGGUAGCUGGUCUGAGAGGAUGAUCAGCCACACUGGGACUGAGACACGAGCUAGACUCCUACGGGAGGCAGCAGUGGGGAAUUUUGGACAAUGGGGGCAACCCUGAUCCAGCCAUGCCGCGUGCGGGAAGAAGGCCUUCGGGUUGUAAACCGCUUUUGGCCGGGAAGAAAAGGACGCGGUUAAUACCUGCGUUUUUUGACGGUACCGGCAGAAUCAGCACCGGCUAACUACGUGCCAGCAGCCGCGGUAAUACGUAGGGUGCGAGCGUUAAUCGGAAUUACUGGGCGUAAAGCGUGCGUAGGCGGUUCGUUGUGUCUGUGGUGAAAGCCCCGGGCUUAACCUGGGAAUGGCCAUGGAAACUGGCGAGCUGGAGUGUGGCAGAGGGGGGUGGAAUUCCGCGUGUAGCAGUGAAAUGCGUAGAGAUGCGGAGGAACACCGAUGGCGAAGGCAGCCCCCUGGGCUAACACUGACGCUGAGGCACGAAAGCGUGGGGGAGCAAACAGGAUUAGAUACCCUGGUAGUCCACGCCCUAAACGAUGUCAACUGGGUGUUCGGGAAGCGAUUCCUGGGUACCGUAGCUUAC